AUACUUACCUGGCAGGGGAGAUACCAUGAUCACGAAGGUGGUUUUCCCAGGGCGAGGCUUAUCCAUUGCACUCCGGAUGUGCUGACCCCUGAGAUUUCCCCAAAUGUGGGAAACUCGACUGCAUAAUUUGUGGUAGUGGGGGACUGCGUUCGUGCUCUCCCCUA
This 164-nucleotide small nuclear RNA is filed under the name Castor canadensis (American beaver). RNAcentral's name for it is "U1 spliceosomal RNA (ENSCCNG00000009258.1)". It matches the Rfam family "U1 spliceosomal RNA". Rfam says of the family: U1 is a small nuclear RNA (snRNA) component of the spliceosome (involved in pre-mRNA splicing). Its 5' end forms complementary base pairs with the 5' splice junction, thus defining the 5' donor site of an intron. The record is from Rfam by way of RNAcentral. Lineage: Eukaryota; Metazoa; Chordata; Mammalia; Rodentia; Castoridae.